Molecule: ribosomal RNA, 827 nt
Filed under: Pseudomonas aeruginosa
Lineage: Bacteria; Pseudomonadati; Pseudomonadota; Gammaproteobacteria; Pseudomonadales; Pseudomonadaceae
Description: partial 23S ribosomal RNA
Rfam family: Bacterial large subunit ribosomal RNA
Source: RNAcentral
ACUGUAGCUUUGCACUGGACUUUGAGCCUGCUUGUGUAGGAUAGGUGGGAGGCUUUGAAGCGUGGACGCCAGUUCGCGUGGAGCCAUCCUUGAAAUACCACCCUGGCAUGCUUGAGGUUCUAACUCUGGUCCGUGAUCCGGAUCGAGGACAGUGUAUGGUGGGCAGUUUGACUGGGGCGGUCUCCUCCUAAAGAGUAACGGAGGAGUACGAAGGUGCGCUCAGACCGGUCGGAAAUCGGUCGCAGAGUAUAAAGGCAAAAGCGCGCUUGACUGCGAGACAGACACGUCGAGCAGGUACGAAAGUAGGUCUUAGUGAUCCGGUGGUUCUGUAUGGAAGGGCCAUCGCUCAACGGAUAAAAGGUACUCCGGGGAUAACAGGCUGAUACCGCCCAAGAGUUCAUAUCGACGGCGGUGUUUGGCACCUCGAUGUCGGCUCAUCACAUCCUGGGGCUGAAGCCGGUCCCAAGGGUAUGGCUGUUCGCCAUUUAAAGUGGUACGCGAGCUGGGUUUAGAACGUCGUGAGACAGUUCGGUCCCUAUCUGCCGUGGACGUUUGAGAUUUGAGAGGGGCUGCUCCUAGUACGAGAGGACCGGAGUGGACGAACCUCUGGUGUUCCGGUUGUCACGCCAGUGGCAUUGCCGGGUAGCUAUGUUCGGAAAAGAUAACCGCUGAAAGCAUCUAAGCGGGAAACUUGCCUCAAGAUGAGAUCUCACUGGGAACUUGAUUCCCCUGAAGGGCCGUCGAAGACUACGACGUUGAUAGGCUGGGUGUGUAAGCGUUGUGAGGCGUUGAGCUAACCAGUACUAAUUGCCCGUGAGGCUUGACCA